Molecule: non-coding RNA, 181 nt
Filed under: Rummeliibacillus stabekisii
Lineage: Bacteria; Bacillati; Bacillota; Bacilli; Caryophanales; Caryophanaceae
Description: Lysine sequence
Rfam family: Lysine riboswitch aptamer
About the family: Riboswitches are metabolite binding domains within certain messenger RNAs that serve as precision sensors for their corresponding targets. Allosteric rearrangement of mRNA structure is mediated by ligand binding, and this results in modulation of gene expression. This family includes riboswitches that sense lysine in a number of genes involved in lysine metabolism, including lysC.
Source: Rfam by way of RNAcentral
AAUAAGGAUAGAGGCGCAAAAACCAUGAGUAAGCUGCAAGAGGAUGAUGAGAUCCGACUACUGCAGUGGAAAGGGGAAUUUGCCGAAGCUUAGAGAAACUCAUAUUUCUCUAUUGCUGGGCCUGCUGUUGAAUAAACACAGGACUGUCAUGUAGGAAACUAUAUGGAGGGCUAUCGUACGC